CAGGAUGAACGCUAGCGGCAGGCCUAAUACAUGCAAGUCGAACGGUGAUAUUUAUAUCAUAGUGGCGCACGGGUGCGUAACACGUAUGCAACCUACCUAUUAUUGGGGGAUAGCCUUUGGAAACGGAGAUUAAUACCGCAUAAUACGAUUAACUGGCAUCGGUUGAUUGUUAAAGCAUUUGCGAUAAUAGAUGGGCAUGCGUCCAAUUAGUUAGUUGGUGUGGUAAUGGCUCACCAAGACGAUGAUUGGUAGGGGAUCUGAGAGGAUAAUCCCCCACACUGGCACUGAGAUACGGGCCAGACUCCUACGGGAGGCAGCAGUAGGGAAUAUUGGGCAAUGGGCGGAAGCCUGACCCAGCCAUGCCGCGUGCAGGAAGACGGCGUUAUGCGUUGUAAACUGCUUUUUUAUAGGAAGAAGGAUCCCUUGCGAGGGAAGGUGACGGUACUAUAAGAAUAAGCACCGGCUAACUCCGUGCCAGCAGCCGCGGUAAUACGGAGGGUGCAAGCGUUGUCCGGAUUUAUUGGGUUUAAAGGGUGCGUACGCGGUUUAUUAAGUCAGUGGUGAAAGACGGUCGCUCAACGAUUGCAGUGCCAUUGAUACUGGUAG
Molecule: ribosomal RNA, 606 nt
Filed under: uncultured bacterium
Lineage: Bacteria
Description: bacterial SSU rRNA
Rfam family: Bacterial small subunit ribosomal RNA
Source: RNAcentral